This 253-nucleotide ribosomal RNA is filed under the name uncultured bacterium. RNAcentral describes it as "partial 16S ribosomal RNA". It matches the Rfam family "Bacterial small subunit ribosomal RNA", at positions 524 to 776 of the family's 1533-position model. The record is from RNAcentral.
UACGUAGGGAGCAAGCGUUGUCCGGAAUCAUUGGGCGUAAAGCGCGCGUAGGUGGCUUCGUAAGUCCGUUGUGAAAGUCAAAGGCUCAACCUUUGAAAGCCGAUGGAUACUGCGGAGCUAGAGUACGGAAGAGGCGAGUGGAAUUCCUGGUGUAGCGGUGGAAUGCGCAGAUAUCAGGAGGAACACCAAUAGCGAAGGCAGCUCGCUGGGACGUUACUGACACUGAGGCGCGAAAGCUAGGGUAGCGAACGGG